This 71-nucleotide transfer RNA is filed under the name Camelus bactrianus (Bactrian camel). It matches the Rfam family "tRNA". Rfam says of the family: Transfer RNA (tRNA) molecules are approximately 80 nucleotides in length. The record is from Rfam by way of RNAcentral. Lineage: Eukaryota; Metazoa; Chordata; Mammalia; Artiodactyla; Camelidae. RNAcentral also lists the same sequence under 2 other names.
AAGGGUAUAGCUCAGUGGUAGAGUGCCUGCUCAGUAUGCAUGAGUCAUGGGUUCAACCUCCAAUACCUCCA